GGCUUGCGGCAGCUACACAUGCAGUCGAGCGGUAACAGAGAGUUGCUUGCUACUUUGCUGACGAGCGGCGGACGGGUGAGUAAUGCUUGGGAACAUGCCUUGAGGUGGGGGACAACAGUUGGAAACGACUGCUAAUACCGCAUAAUGUCUACGGACCAAAGGGGGCUUCGGCUCUCGCCUUUAGAUUGGCCCAAGUGGGAUUAGCUAGUUGGUGAGGUAAUGGCUCACCAAGGCGACGAUCCCUAGCUGGUUUGAGAGGAUGAUCAGCCACACUGGGACUGAGACACGGCCCAGACUCCUACGGGAGGCAGCAGUGGGGAAUAUUGCACAAUGGGCGCAAGCCUGAUGCAGCCAUGCCGCGUGUGUGAAGAAGGCCUUCGGGUUGUAAAGCACUUUCAGUCAGGAGGAAAGGUUAGUAGUUAAUACCUGCUAGCUGUGACGUUACUGACAGAAGAAGCACCGGCUAACUCCGUGCCAGCAGCCGCGGUAAUACGGAGGGUGCGAGCGUUAAUCGGAAUUACUGGGCGUAAAGCGUACGCAGGCGGUUUGUUAAGCGAGAUGUGAAAGCCCUGGGCUCAACCUGGGAACUGCAUUUCGAACUGGCAAACUAGAGUGUGAUAGAGGGUGGUAGAAUUUCAGGUGUAGCGGUGAAAUGCGUAGAGAUCUGAAGGAAUACCGAUGGCGAAGGCAGCCACCUGGGUCAACACUGACGCUCAUGUACGAAAGCGUGGGGAGCAAACGGGAUUAGAUACCCCGGUAGUCCACGCCGUAAACGAUGUCUACUAGAAGCUCGGGUCCUCGGACUUGUUUUUCAAAGCUAACGCAUUAAGUAGACCGCCUGGGGAGUACGGCCGCAAGGUUAAAACUCAAAUGAAUUGACGGGGGCCCGCACAAGCGGUGGAGCAUGUGGUUUAAUUCGAUGCAACGCGAAGAACCUUACCUACACUUGACAUACAGAGAACUUACCAGAGAUGGUUUGGUGCCUUCGGGAACUCUGAUACAGGUGCUGCAUGGCUGUCGUCAGCUCGUGUG
RNAcentral lists this ribosomal RNA (1032 nucleotides) under Pseudoalteromonas aliena. Its description in RNAcentral is "bacterial SSU rRNA". It matches the Rfam family "Bacterial small subunit ribosomal RNA", at positions 34 to 1066 of the family's 1533-position model. Lineage: Bacteria; Pseudomonadati; Pseudomonadota; Gammaproteobacteria; Alteromonadales; Pseudoalteromonadaceae. The record is from RNAcentral.